Harmonia axyridis is the source of this 722-nucleotide long non-coding RNA. RefSeq lists it as uncharacterized. The record is from RefSeq and is a predicted model, not a curated record. The transcript is spliced from 3 exons. NCBI's taxonomy places the organism in Eukaryota, Metazoa, Arthropoda, Insecta, Coleoptera, Coccinellidae.
UCUGGAUAUUUCAUAUACAUAUAAUCCCUAAAAUAAAUGUCUAGGAGCAGACAUCUUGAACUACGCACGACAGGAAAUUUAUCUUCGAUUUUAAAUUAAAGGUUAAGUAAUAAGUCAAGUUAUUUAAGAGAAGAAAGGAAAAAACAAACGAAGAAGAAGAAUUUAUGCUAUAAAAAAUUCUACCCUAACCUAUUUUUCAAAAAUAUUAAUGGAUAUUAAAUAGAAUUUAAAGAUUGAUAUUGAAUGGACCUAGGUAACAAGAGAUAACAAUCUCUGCAGUAAUGUCUUUUCCCAACAAAGAAGACAGACAACGUUGUUGGGGAGCAAGGGAUAGGUAUUGGGAAUGUUUAGAUAAAGUUGGUGAAGGAGAUCAGCAUCCAUGUGCUGAGCUCAGAAAGUUGUAUGAAAAUUCUUGUAGUUCACAAUGGAUCAAACAUUUUGAUAGAAGAAGAUCCUAUUUGGUAUUUAAGAAUAAAGUAGAAAAUGAGGGAUAUGAACCGUUAACUGAAAGUAAUAAAACAACAUGAUGAUAAUUUGUAUUAGAUAUAUAUUUAUGUUCAUGUCUAUUAUGUCAAAAUGGUUCAUUAUAUUCUCCAUACUUAAUACUCUUGAUUACAGAUAGAAGAAAGGAUAUGAUAGAUAUGGAAAAAAUGUUCAAUGUUCCAAAAAUUCUCAUUUAGAAAUGAAAUUUCCUUCUCAUGAAAUAUAUUUGCAAAUCUUCA